This 403-nucleotide ribosomal RNA is filed under the name Verrucomicrobiota bacterium. RNAcentral describes it as "Verrucomicrobia bacterium partial 16S ribosomal RNA". It matches the Rfam family "Bacterial small subunit ribosomal RNA", at positions 355 to 776 of the family's 1533-position model. The record is from RNAcentral. Lineage: Bacteria; Pseudomonadati; Verrucomicrobiota.
UGGGGAAUAUUGCACAAUGGGGGAAACCCUGAUGCAGCGACGCCGCGUGAGUGAAGAAGGCUUUCGAGUCGUAAAGCUCUGUCCUAUGAGAAGAUAAUGACGGUAUCAUAGGAGGAAGCCCUGGCUAAAUACGUGCCAGCAGCCGCGGUAAUACGUAUGGGGCGAGCGUUGUCCGGAAUUAUUGGGCGUAAAGGGUACGUAGGUGGUUUUUUAAGUCAGGUGUCAAAGCGUGGAGCUUAACUCCAUUAAGCACUUGAAACUGAAAGACUUGAGUGAAGGAGAGGAAAGUGGAAUUCCUAGUGUAGCGGUGAAAUGCGUAGAUAUUAGGAGGAAUACCGGUGGCGAAGGCGACUUUCUGGACUUUUACUGACGCUCAGGUACGAAAGCGUGGGGAGCAAACAGG